CUCAACUGAUUAUUAAAAUCCCUUAAGUCACUUUAAAAUUACAAAUUUCUUAGCCCAUACAGCAAAGACUUUGGAGAUAAAAAAUGUACCUUGAGCCUCUGUUGGCUAAAAAAUGUUCAGAAGACUAGACGCUUAAGGAAAUUCCCCUUGUUUUCCUAACUCACUUGGAUAAUAAUACCAAGGAAUUAGUCCUUCUACUUCCAAUCCAUUCCUGUGCUUCCAAACGUCUACUCAGGUGAGGAGGAGUAUGCUAGAUCAAGAUGGAAUAGAAGUCCCUGAUCUCUUGCUCCUUGUUCAUCUGACUAUUGUAUUGUGGACCAGGAGAUUGGAGGCAUGUUCUACUGCUCUCCUUUACCCCCUGGACAACAGCCUUAAGUUCUGUGCAUUCUCCCACUCUCACUGAGUUAUUCAGGCCUCAGCAAGCCACCUUUCCUUUCCUUUGUUCUUAGCUGCCCCAAUGUAUGUGAACUACACCAAUUCUAUCAGUGUCCCAUAUGAGAGGCAAGACAGAUGCUGGCCAGGGAUGGUGCACCCAUGCUUCACCCUCUCGUUUCCCCCCCUGGAGAAGAAGUCAUGGGCCAAGGUGAUGAGCUUUCUCAGAUUGGGGGAAAAGCUGAUGAAGCAGGUCAAAUAAAAUUGUCAUUCUUAUUCUCUCUCAA
Microcebus murinus (gray mouse lemur) is the source of this 659-nucleotide non-coding RNA. Lineage: Eukaryota; Metazoa; Chordata; Mammalia; Primates; Cheirogaleidae. The record is from RefSeq and is a predicted model, not a curated record.